Molecule: long non-coding RNA, 1393 nt
Filed under: Salmo salar (Atlantic salmon)
Lineage: Eukaryota; Metazoa; Chordata; Actinopteri; Salmoniformes; Salmonidae
Description: lncRNA (ENSSSAG00000115790.1)
Source: RNAcentral
GUUGAUGAAUAUCAAACACAUGGCAGAGUUGUUCUUUAGGCACUGUUGAUCAGCACACAUGUGGAUUAAAAUGUCAAGAAGACAGGAGAAGGAGCGUGCUGGAAUAUUUUAUGGAUGUUAGAAACAAUUUUUUACUGAUGCUAGCAAGCAUGCAUUUGCACACUGCAGUCAGUGCACAACGGAGCCAAAGGUGCUGUUUUGUUUACAUGUAACAUUAGCUAGCCAUUUGUUUGAGUUGUGCCCCAUCUGACAGUGAAAUGUGGCUAGCUCUUACCGCAGCUUGGACUAUGGAGAAGCUAGAGAUGCAAAAGCCCAUUGCAUGCUUUGUAAGGUCACCAGGCUGCUCGUUAUAGCGCACACCUGUCACCAUCGUUACACUCACCUGCGCAUCGUCAGACUCACCUGUCCUCCAUCACUUCCUUGAUUACCUGCACUAUAUAUGUCACUCCCUUUGGUUCCUUCUCCAGGCGUCAUUCUUUCUGUUUCAUGUCUGUGCGUUGUUCAAGGUUCUUGGUUUGUAUUAUAUUCUGUUUAUUUUUAUUAAAACACUCACUCCCUGAACUUGCUUCCCAACUCUCAGCGCACAUCGUUACAGAAUGAUACCUAACCUAAAGAAAGCAUCACGGAGUGUUUUUUGGUUAGGUGGGAAUGACGUUGGGUCCGGCUCUCUACAGGCUCUCAUGCCUCAGCCGGAUUGACAGGCUCCCCUGCUUCCACUGGCUCGUCAGGCUCUCAUGCCUCAUCCAGUCUGUCAGGUUUCCGCUUCCCAGCCGGCAGCAGUUUCCCGCUUCCCAGCCGGCAACAGGUUCCCACGCCUCUGCAGAGGUGACCAGUCCGCUCUUGUUCCCGGGAUCAUCAUUUUGGUCGGCGUCCUGCGGCUGGAGCCGCGCGUCGGGGAGGGGGUACUGUCACGUGUGUUCCCUCUCCGGCCUCUAGGUCACCAGGCUGCUCGUUAUGGCGCACACCUGUCACCAUCGUUACACUCACCUGUGCAUCGUCAGACUCACCUGGACUCAAUCACUUACUUGAUUACCUGCCCUAUAUAUGUCACUCCCUUUGGUUCCUUCUUCAGGCGUCAUUCUUUCUGUUUCAUAUCUGUGCGUUGUUCGCGGUUCUUGUUUUGUAUUAUGUUCCGUUUAUUUUUAUUAAAACACUCACUCCCUGAACUUGCUUCCCGACUCUCAGCGCACAUUGUUACAGCUGCACACUCAGGAAAAAACUUGAAACUGUAACCAGUGCCUGCAACCUGGUUCAGGUUGACAGUCAACCUACCAGGGUAUUUAUAAACAUCACAGGAAUGAAAUCAUCAUCAUGUAUUGAUUAUAUCUUUACUAAUGCUGCAGAAAUCUGCUUUAAAGCAGUAUCCAAAUCCUUAGGAUGUAUACAAUAUAAU